CAAUAGCGUAUAUUAAAGUUGUUGCAGUUAAAAAGCUCGUAGUUGGAUUUCGGGACAGCCUGGCUGGUCCGCCGCAAGGCGAGUACUGGUCAGCCGCCCUUCCUCUCGAAAGCCCCGACUGCUCUUCGUUGCAGUGGUCGGGUAGUUCGGGACGUUUACUUUGAAAAAAUUAGAGUGUUCAAGGCAGGCCUACGCCUGAAUACAUUAGCAUGGAAUAAUGGAAGAGGACCUCGGUCCUAUUUUGUUGGUUUCCAGGGCCGAAGUAAUGAUUAAGAGGGACAGUUGGGGGCAUUCGUAUUUAAUUGUCAGAGGUGAAAUUCUCGGAUUUAUGAAAGACGAACAACUGCGAAAGCAUUUGCCAAGGAUGUUUUCAUUAA
RNAcentral lists this ribosomal RNA (377 nucleotides) under uncultured eukaryote. RNAcentral describes it as "partial 18S ribosomal RNA". It matches the Rfam family "Eukaryotic small subunit ribosomal RNA", at positions 592 to 976 of the family's 1831-position model. The record is from RNAcentral.